CCUACGGGAGGCAGCAGUGAGGAAUAUUGGUCAAUGGGCGCGAGCCUGAACCAGCCAAGUCGCGUGAGGGAGGACGGCCCUACGGGUUGUAAACCUCUUUUGCCGGGGAGCAACGGGCGCCACGUGUGGCGUCACUGAGAGUACCCGGAGAAAAAGCAUCGGCUAACUCCGUGCCAGCAGCCGCGGUAAUACGGAGGAUGCGAGCGUUAUCCGGAUUUAUUGGGUUUAAAGGGUGCGCAGGCGGAGGUGCAAGUCAGCGGUCAAAUUGCGGGGCUCAACCCCGUACUGCCGUUGAAACUGCAUCCCUUGAGUGCGCGAGAAGUAUGCGGAAUGCGUGGUGUAGCGGUGAAAUGCAUAGAUAUCACGCAGAACUCCGAUUGCGAAGGCAGCAUACCGGCGCGCAACUGACGCUCAUGCACGAAAGCGUGGGUAUCGAACAGGAUUAGAUACCCUUGUAGUC
Molecule: ribosomal RNA, 460 nt
Filed under: uncultured bacterium
Lineage: Bacteria
Description: partial 16S ribosomal RNA
Rfam family: Bacterial small subunit ribosomal RNA
Source: RNAcentral